GCUGAUAGAUAUCACGAUGCUGCGCCAGAAACAGCGUCAUCUGCUCCAGUAUCACGCCUGUGCAUCUGUUGUCAUGCGACAGAGAAGUCGCAUCUAUGGACAGUUGUGAACGCGCUGACAGCUGGUUGCCCAGGCUUUGGAUUAAAGGUAAUACUGUUGUAAGUAAAGGCCCUGCUCACCCUGAAGGCCCACCACUGCUGUCAGACAACAUCUCCAAGAUGAUAUAAACUGCCGGACUAGAUAGCCAUCCCAAGGUUACUAGAGAUUACACCAGCUCCAAACUGAAUCCAAACUCACUUGUGAAGACUUCAGAUGACGCCAACGCUCACAAAGACUACAGACGACGACAACUGUACAUGAACACACAAAACAUUGGACACACAAAACAAAUAUCCUUAUUUUGCCUAUAAGGGUAAAUUUGAUGAUUUUCAACCUGCUUUAUUGCAAUGUCUCUUAUAUCUGUAAAUGAACAAUAUUUACUCUCUGAGUUAUGUGGACCUACAUCUCCCCUUUUAUUUGUUAGCAGCACUCUGCAGGAUGAUGCAAAAUGAAAUGAGAAGUUUUGCGGAAAUGACACAAUGCAGUAUCUAAAUGAAAACAUGCUGUUUUGCAUCUGUUUUGCUGGCAAAUAAACGGUAUCUUGGAGAAAGAAUAAACAUUGUUCUUUUACAAAUGUUACCAUUGUAACAAUGUAAAAUGGAUUGAAUAUUUUUUUACUUACCCUUUAAAAAUUUUGAAAGACAAUGUUAAUGUUAACUGAACACAAAACUAGAGACUUGUUUAGUAAGAUUUUAUCAGAAAAUAUUUUAGAAUUUUUAUCAUGCAAUUUAACAUUUUAAUUGCUUAAUUAUUGUUUGGUUUUAUUUCGUGUUAAUGUAACUUUUUAAAAAGUUUUUGGCAUAAAGUUAGCCUGCGAUGCUGACAGUACUGAACACAUGACUUUUUAUUAUGAACUAGAACAUGCUCUUCCCCAGUCAGUCUCAGUCACCUCUAGCUUUUUAAACUGUAACCUUGAAACAUGCCUUUUCUGUAAACCUACUUUGAAAUAAGUAUUGUGAAAACAGUGCUAUACUCAUACAACAUUUAACCAUGCAAGUACUGUAGUAAUAGUUAUUUUUGUUUUUACUAUGGUUUUACUGCAAAAGCUGUAGUAAAAUCAUGGUUAAUUUUCAAAAGACUACAAAUAAUCCAGAAUUAUCCACUUUUGAUCAAAGCAUCUGGUAAAUGUUAAUGUAUUUGUACAUGUAAUAUGAAAUAAAUGAAAAUAUUAAUAAAGUGGCAUCGGUUCUUGA
This is a long non-coding RNA of Carassius carassius (crucian carp), 1292 nucleotides long. RefSeq lists it as uncharacterized. The transcript is spliced from 3 exons. NCBI's taxonomy places the organism in Eukaryota, Metazoa, Chordata, Actinopteri, Cypriniformes, Cyprinidae. The record is from RefSeq and is a predicted model, not a curated record.